GUCUGUAGGGAAAACAUUUUUAACAUUGAGAUAAUUUGUCUGAAUCUGCUUUCUCUCCAUGUUACUCAGACUAUGCUGUAAAACAUGAAUAGGAAAUGACUGCAUGUUAAAUAUUUAUCUAUAUCAUAGAUCUGUAACGGCCAACAAAAUAAUGUAUUGAAUUAAUAGUGUCAGAGAGGCCUUGCAUGAUGUUGUCUAAAUGGUAGGUGGCGUAUCAAUAACAAAUAAGUCCAAACUCAUGCAUUAGUGAGAAGUGGGACACAUUCUGCAACUUAGAAAUCAACCUAUUUCAUAUUAAUAUAUUGAAGAGAUACUUUGCGAUUUUGGGACAUGAGGCACUUUAUCUACUUCCCCAAAGUCAGGUGAACAAAUGUUUGUGGCUCUGUGUCCAGAAUGAAGAAAGUUAGCAUUGGCUUGUGAAACUACCUCUAACGUUAGUGCAACUGCUAAAUACCGUUAGCGCAAUGACUAACAAUCUUUGGGUACAACUCGUUAGCAUUGGCUCUCAAAAGUACCACUAACUUCCUUCAUACUGGGCGCAUAUACUUAAAAAUGGUAUCCAGGAGUUCAUCUGACUCUGGAGAAGUAGAUAAAGGGCUUCAUUGACAAAAUCUUGAAAUAUCCCUUUAACACAUCACCACCCGAACUCAAGUAGUUCGGACCUCUUGGUGUAAUGAUUAAGGUGUUGUCUUGACAGCUGCUAGAUCCAGCUUUGAGUCCCGGUCGGGGCUAUCCCCCGGAUUCGCUACCAUAUCAAGAAAAUAAAUCAUAUGUAUUUCCUUUUUCAUUCGUUCGUGUAUUGUUCUUUUGUUGUUGUAUAAUCGUAUUAUAAAAUUGUAUGACCGUCCUUGUCUAUCAGUGAGUGUUUAAGUGUUUUGUUAGUUGUCAAGAUAUGUUUGUUUUUUUUGCACCCCAGGAUGAGUAACGUUAGCUGCUGCUAAACAAAUAAACAAACGUGUGUACAAUUGCAGUAGUCAUUAUCAGUAUAUAGACUACUGUAUAAUUGCAAACACAUGACAAACAUAACAUCUUCUUGGCACAUGUUUUACUUUGUGAUUUAAAAAAUGAGAUAAUGCUAUGCCUUGUUGGUCUAAGCAAAGUAAAAAAGCUCAAUAAUGUAUGUAAUGUUUCCUUACAAAUGUGUGUUGUUAUUGCACCGUUCCUGGCCUGUAAGUGCGCAAUAGCUUUCCAGUAACCGAUACAAUGGAUGGAGGAACGUAAAGGGCGACUAUAAAUACUACAUUGCAAUUACAACAGAUAGACUAUUAUGCUAAUAGACCACAGCAGUAUAUAUGGCUCUAGGACCCGAGAGGGUGGUACGGCUUGUAACAAUAUUCCAUGUAACUUCUUCGCAGAAUCUUUCAACCCCAGGAACUGUUCUGCCGCUUCCACAAUGAUUUUUGUCUUCCUGGACCUUUUCUCCACCUUGGCAGAGCCAUUUAUCAUCAUAUCUAUAAACAUCCACCUUCCUAACUUUUUAAAUACCUUGGUCCUGCUGGUGAAAGGAAACCCCUGCAGCCUGCAGUGAAGGCCUAUCCACAACCAUAUUACUCUUCAAGUGCACCAUUCAAACCCUCAACCCUUUUAACAGCUGCUGCAUAUGAAAUGCCCUGACAUGAUCGGAUAUGAAAAGCCAACUGACAUUUACUCCUGAGGUGCUGACCUGUUGCACCCUCUACAACCACUGAUUAUUAUUUGACCCUGCUGGUCAUCUAUGAACAUUUGAAUAUCUUGGCCAUGUUCUGUUAUAAUCUCCACACAACACAGCCAGAAGAGGACUGGUCACCCCUCAUAGCCUGGUUCCUCUCUAGGUUUCUUCCGAGGUUUUGACCAUUCUGGGGAGUUUUUCCUAGCCACCGUGCUUUUACACCUGCAUUUUUUGGCUGUUUGGGGUUUUAGGCUGUGUUUCUGUACAGCACGUUGAGAUAUCAGCUGAUGUACGAAGGGCUUUAUAAAAUACAUUUGAAAUUUGAUUUGACAGGGUAAUGUGGGAUGAUCAUUUCUUGCAUGAACUAAAAUAACACAUUAUAGAUGGCUCUAGGCCAGAGAAUGGCGUUAACAGGAGCAGCUGCAGAAGUGAUGUCCUACUGAAUAUUGUAGGCCUGCAGUAUGGGAUGUGCGUUUCAAAAAUGUAUAUUGUUAUCUCAUAGUUCAAUUAUAAAAAUAAAAAUAUAGAUUUUUUUAUUAUAUGUAUUUAUUUACCAUCACCAAAUCAUCUGAUUUACUUUCACAUUUAAACAGCCCAAUGUUAUUUAAUGAAAUUUGUUGAAGGACAGAAAUCAGGUCAGAGGUCUGAGAAUGACAUAUGAGGUACAAAAAAAAUGAUAGAAAAAACAAAGUUAUUAUUGCAUUGUUACUUGAUGUACGAGUCAAAUCCUUCAAAUGUAAUUUAUUGGGUCUCCAUCUGAUCGCACUCUUUGAUUUCAGAUUGUGGGAUUGUUAAUUGUUAUGGUUUUCCAGAGGAAAAUAAUCUUGAAUUCAUAGAGUGAAAGAAUCCAUGGUAAUGGAAUUUUACUUACAUUCUUUGUUUAAUUCUAUCCGGGAACAAAAAAUAUUAAAGCAACAUGUAAAGUGUAGGUCCCAUGUUUCAUGAGCUGAAAUAAAAGAUCCCAGAAAUGUUCCAUAAGCACAAAAAGCUUAUUUCUCUCAAAUGUUGGGCACAAAUUUGUUUACAACCCUGUUAGUGAGCAUUUCUCCUUUGCCAAGAUAAUCCAUCUACCUGACAGUUGUAACAUAUCAAGAAGCUGAUUAAAUAGCAUGAUCAUUACACAGGUGCACCUUGGGAAAAUAAAACAGGUGCUGGGGACAAUAAAAGGCCACUCUAAAAUGUGCAACUUUGUCACACAACACAAUGCCACAUAUGUCUUAUGUUUUGAGGGAGCAUGCAAUUGGUAUACUGAGUGUAAUAUCUACCAGAGUUGUUGCAAGAUAAUUUAAUGUUCAUUUCUCUACCAUAAGCUGCCUGGAAAGUCAUUUUAGAGAAUUUGGCAGUUCGUUCAACCGGCCUCACAACCGCAGACCACGUGUAACCACGGCAGCCCAGGACCUACACAUACAGCUUCUUCACCUGCGGGAUUGUCUGAGACCAGCCACCCAGACAGCUGAGGAGUAUUUCUGUCUGUAAUAACACCCUUUUGUGAGGGAAAACUCAUUCUGAUUGGCUGGGCCUGGCUCCCAAGUGGGUGGGCCUAUGCCCUCCCUGGCCUAGUCAUAGCUGCGCCGCUGCACAGUCUUGUGAAACCCAUAGAUUAGGGACUAAUUAAUAUAUUUAAAUGCACUGAAGUAUAUUGAGUUAGAGUUUUUUUGGGGGGGGGGAUACAAAUGUUGUUCUUACUCAAUCCACCCAGGGGCAGGAUUGGACACGCCAUAUGUUAAACACCCCUGCUUUCGAGUUUCCAGUAUAAAACCAUCAGUAUACAUACAUAUACUUGCACUAUUAAUAGGCCGCAAAGAGGCAUUGCAUCUGUGCUAGAGAUUAACUAGAGACUUUAAUGAAUACAUUUAUUCUAAAUCCAAUUCAUAAUGACUUUUGAAUGAGAACUUAUUUAUCAUUCAUCAGUUACUUAUUUAGAUGACCCAAACCCGAAAGGGUGCAAUUGAUGCAGAGAGGGAGGUUGAUAUAUACAGACCUUUACCAGGUAACAGUUCUUGGUUCUCAUCAGUAUCUUCAUGGCUGCCAGUUGGAGAUCCCUCCUAACUAGAACCUUCACUAGAACUUUCACUCGAACCCUGACCUGAAAAAAUAACAGCAAAACAGUCAAACCCCAUCACCUACACAGUUUACCUGUUAGACCUAGUCAAAACCAAUGUUAUAAAAAACAUUAUUACCUAUUAUGCUUAUAUUAUCACAAAUAAAGAAAAAUAUGACAUCAUAUUACUGUCAUGUUUCUCUAUCUUUCCCCACUGUAAUUCUUUCUCUCUCUCUAUCGGUUAUUAAAGUCAGAAAUAUACUUUAAAAUAUAUAUAUAUUUUUAUAUGUAUUAAAAGAUAAGUCAACUGACGUUGAACUUUAAAAAUGUUUUGGCUUUUCCCAAAGUCAUUGUAUUCUGCCACAAUAAUUAUUCUCUAUGAGGCUCUUAUGUGGGAACAUGACAACAUUUAUCAGUAAGUUGUUUUGAUCUUGAAGGAGGAUAUUAAUCCUUUUCAAUCUUCAUACUAAAGCUGAAAGUAUGUGAAGUACACCUAGAAAGUAUGUGAAGAACACCUAGGUUCAUUGUGUCAAACAGCAUGCUUGUUAUUCUUCAGUGUUUUACUUCCUUGACAAACCUGUUCUGGAUCAGAACUACAGUAACUCCUCUGUCUGCCCUGUUUAUGACUAAUGUACCAUGUGAUUUAUGAUAAGGGAUAAAAGCAACCAAUGAAAACAAACAUUUGUUAUUUCUAAAUUGUUCCUUGUGCAUUUUUUUGGGGUAAACCCCACAUUCUUUUUUCACCUAAACUUUACCUAAUAGUAUCACCACACAUACUCAGCUAUAAUCAACAACAUUGGCCUUGUUAUGUUCAAAAGUGCAAUUACAAAGUUAAUGCGACUUUGUAAUUGUAGGUCUGCAGUAGGUGUGUAAGUCUUUGAGAAUGGUUAGAUUAGCUACAUAUCCUGUAGUUUACCUGUUGACUCGUUGAUGUUCACGGCGUCACUUUUGAAAUUGUCUCUGAAGGUGGAGGACACGGCCACCUUGUAUUCAGUGUUGGGAAUCAGUCCAGUCAGAGGGUGUUACGGUUUUCUAUGUGCGAAGGAGAGUCGGACCAAAAUGUGGCGUGUAGAUUACGAUCCAUGUUUAAUAAACAAAAGUCAAUACGAAUCAAUUACAAAAACAACAAACGUAACGAAAACAGAAACAGCCUAUACUGGUGUAAAUUAACACAGAACAGGGACAUAAGGACAAUAAGGACAAUCACCCACGAAACACUCAAAGAAUAUGGCUGCCUGAAUAUGGUUCCCAAUCAGAGACAACGAUCAACACCUGCCUCUGAUUGAGAACCACUUCAGACAGCCAUAGAUACACCUAGAACACCCCACUAAGCUACCAUCCCAAUACAUGUGAAAAAAAACCAAGACAAAACACACCACAUACAAAAACCCAUGUCACACCCUGGCCUGACCAAAUAGAUAAAGAAAACACAAAAUACUAAGACCAGGGCGUGACAAGAGUGUAGGUGUUCAUGUUACCAUUCACCAGCAUCUUCACCAUGGAGAGAGAAAGAGAGAGAUCAAUUUUAGCAGGCAACAGGAGAAAAAAGCAGAUGGCCAGACAGCCAGACAGACCUCUUUAGUGUCUCCUCCUCUGGUUGGGGUCCAGGUGAGUCUGUAGAGGACCAUGUCUUGGGCUGAGUGUUCCCAGGUGACCCUGAAGCUCUCUGUGGAGACUUCACUGGUCUUUAGGUUCAGAGGCUCUGGGACUGUCUCUGGAUUACACACAAAGGAUAAAUGGCUCAGUGUUUUUAGAGCAUGGUGCUGGCAACACCAGGGUUGUUUGAUCAAUUUCCGCAUGUGUUACAUAUGAAUAAAUAAACGUGUCACAGUCAAUGUUGAGAGUGACACACUCGCUUUGGGUAAAAGUGUAUGUGUUACCUCACAACCCUAUCGUCUGUGGAAAAGUCUAUCAAAAUUACAUUUUUACACUAAAUCCUAUCAUUAAAUUCCUAAGAUAAAGAAAAGCAGCUCAGGACAAGAGCAAUAGAGAAUUACACUAGAGUAGAGCAAUAGAGAAUUACGGUAGAGUAGAUCAAUAUUUUGGACUAGCAACUCUCUGGCAAUCAAUCAAUCUCCUUUAGUACCACUCCACCACAGGUACUAUACAGCUCUCCAAAACUAACAGCUGGGGAGAAUAGAGGAGAGGGGAGGGGAGAGGCAGUCUUACUGGUGGUAAAUCAGCCAGUCAGGGGCUUGGCUUGGCGACCUCCAUCAUACAAAGCCAAGAUGAUCACAGUGUACUCUGUCAGUGGCAUCAGGUUACUAAGCAACACUGGGGUGUCGUUGCAUCCACAUACGCCCUAUGGUCAAAGAAGAGGUAAGGUUAAAGGUGAGUGCAAAUUUAUCUCAUCUCAAAAAAUAUGUACUGUUGAUGGCAUUCUUGUCCAGAUACAGUCUUUACAUCCUGGUCAAUAAUUGAAAGCAUUCAUUCAUUUUAAGAAUAACAAUAACGGUACUGGGAUGUCACACGUUUACCAUGUGAUUUGUUCUCAGGUAAAGAAAAUCUUGUUGGAAAGUGCAUUGAUAUAUACCCAUUGAUACUUCAAGAAUAUAACUUAGAAAUGCCUCAUGAACGUAGUUGUUGUCGUACCUCAUCAGAGCCCAAAAUAUAAUCUGUAAAACAAAUUUUAUUUGUCACAUGUGCCGAAUACAACAGGUGAAGACCUUACAGUGAAAUGUUUACUUACAGGCCUUUAACCAGCAAUGCAGUUUUAAGAAAAAUAUGUGUCAGCAGUCAGGAGCUGCCAGAGCCGCCCGCCAGUCAGGAGCUGCCAGAGCCGCCCGUCAGUCAGGAGCUGCCAGAGCCGUCCGUCAGUCAGGAGCUGCCAGAGCCGCCCGUCAGUCAGGAGCUGCCAGAGCCGUCCGUCAGGCAGGAGCUGCCAGAGUCACCCUUCAGGCAGGAGCUGCCAGUGUCACCCUUCAGGCAGGAGCUGCCAGAGUCGCCCUUCACUCCGGCACUGCUGGAGUCGCCAGCCUGUCCGGCGCUGACGGAGUCUCCCGUCUAUUCGGGGCCCGCUGAAAGGGUCCCAGUCCGAGGUCGGCGGCGAGGGUCGCCGCUCCAAAGGCGCCACCUAAGUGGACCGAGACUAAGGUGGAGUGGGGUCAGAGCCGCCAGAGCCGCCACCACGGACAGAUGCCCACCCAGACCCUCCCCUCUGGGUUUAGGUUUUGCGGUCGGAGUCCGCACCUUUGGGGGGGGUACUGUCACGUCCUGACCUUAGUUCCCUUUGUACAUCUCUAUAUUAGGUUGGUCAGGGUGUGAGUUGGGGUGGGCAUUCUAUGUUUUGUGGGCAUUCUUGUUUUUGUGUUUAUAUUUCUAUAUGUUUGGCCUGGUAUGGUUCCCAAUCAGAGACAGCUGUCAAUCGUUGUCUCUGAUUGAGAACCAUACUUAGGUAGCCUGAUUUCCCACUCUUGUUUGUGGGUGGUUAUUUUCCGUUUCAGUGUUUUUCACCAUACGGGACUGUUUCGUUUUUUCUUUAUUCGCUUGUUCGUUUGUUUUCUGUGUUGAGUGUAAUAAAUAUGACGAACACCUA
This is a long non-coding RNA of Oncorhynchus masou masou (cherry salmon), 7224 nucleotides long. RefSeq lists it as uncharacterized. The transcript has 2 exons. The record is from RefSeq and is a predicted model, not a curated record. Lineage: Eukaryota; Metazoa; Chordata; Actinopteri; Salmoniformes; Salmonidae.